ACACGACUACAUUAGAUACCCGUGUAGUCCCAGCCGUAAACGAUACUCGCUAGGUGUCGGCCACGGUGCGACCGUUGUCGGUGCCGUAGGGAAGCCGUGAAGCGAGCCACCUGGGAAGUACGGCCGCAAGGCUGAAACUUAAAGGAAUUGGCGGGGGAGCACAACAACGGGUGGAGCUUGCGGUUUAAUUGGAUUCAACGCCGGAAAUCUUACCGGGACCGACAGCAACAUGAAGGCCAGGCUGAAGACUUUGCCGGAUUAGCUG
Molecule: ribosomal RNA, 265 nt
Filed under: uncultured archaeon
Lineage: Archaea
Description: partial 16S ribosomal RNA
Rfam family: Archaeal small subunit ribosomal RNA
Source: RNAcentral